This 420-nucleotide ribosomal RNA is filed under the name uncultured Nitrososphaerota archaeon. RNAcentral describes it as "bacterial SSU rRNA". It matches the Rfam family "Archaeal small subunit ribosomal RNA", at positions 459 to 879 of the family's 1478-position model. Lineage: Archaea; Thermoproteati; Nitrososphaerota. The record is from RNAcentral.
CAGCCGCCGCGGUAAUACCAGCACCCCGAGUGGUCGGGACGUUUAUUGGGCCUAAAGCAUCCGUAGCCGGUUCUACAAGUCUUCCGUUAAAUCCACCUGCUUAACAGAUGGGCUGCGGAGGAUACCGCAGAGCUAGGAGGCGGGAGAGGCAAACGGUACUCAGUGGGUAGGGGUAAAAUCCAUUGAUCUACUGAAGACCACCAGUGGCGAAGGCGGUUUGCCAGAACGCGCUCGACGGUGAGGGAUGAAAGCUGGGGGAGCAAACCGGAUUAGAUACCCGGGUAGUCCCAGCUGUAAACGAUGCAGACUCGGUGAUGCAUUGGCUUGUGGCCAAUGCAGUGCUGCAGGGAAGCCGUUAAGUCUGCCGCCUGGGAAGUACGUACACAAGUAUGAAACUUAAAGGAAUUGGCGGGGGAGCAC